GAUGAACGGUGGCGGGGGGGCGAAUACAUGCAAGUCGAGCGAACAGACGAGGAGCUUGCUCCUCUGACGUUAGCGGCGGACGGGUGAGUAACACGUGGAUAACCUACCUAUAAGACUGGGAUAACUUCGGGAAACCGGAGCUAAUACCGGAUAAUAUAUUGAACCGCAUGGUUCAAUAGUGAAAGACGGUUUUGCUGUCACUUAUAGAUGGAUCCGCGCCGCAUUAGCUAGUUGGUAAGGUAACGGCUUACCAAGGCAACGAUGCGUAGCCGACCUGAGAGGGUGAUCGGCCACACUGGAACUGAGACACGGUCCAGACUCCUACGGGAGGCAGCAGUAGGGAAUCUUCCGCAAUGGGCGAAAGCCUGACGGAGCAACGCCGCGUGAGUGAUGAAGGUCUUCGGAUCGUAAAACUCUGUUAUUAGGGAAGAACAAAUGUGUAAGUAACUAUGCACGUCUUGACGGUACCUAAUCAGAAAGCCACGGCUAACUACGUG
This 497-nucleotide ribosomal RNA is filed under the name uncultured bacterium. RNAcentral describes it as "partial 16S ribosomal RNA". It matches the Rfam family "Bacterial small subunit ribosomal RNA", at positions 28 to 507 of the family's 1533-position model. The record is from RNAcentral.